CACGUGAGUAACCUGCCCCAGACUCUGGGAUAACAUCGGGAAACCGGUGCUAAUACCGGAUACGAGACGCUCCUGCAUGGGAUGCGUCUGGAAAGAUUUAUCGGUCUGGGAUGGACUCGCGGCCUAUCAGCUAGUUGGUGAGGUAAUGGCUCACCAAGGCGACGACGGGUAGCCGGCCUGAGAGGGCGACCGGCCACACUGGAACUGAGACACGGUCCAGACUCCUACGGGAGGCAGCAGUGGGGAAUAUUGCACAAUGGGCGAAAGCCUGAUGCAGCCAUGCCGCGUGUGUGAAGAAGG
Molecule: ribosomal RNA, 300 nt
Filed under: uncultured Demequina sp.
Lineage: Bacteria; Bacillati; Actinomycetota; Actinomycetes; Micrococcales; Demequinaceae
Description: bacterial SSU rRNA
Rfam family: Bacterial small subunit ribosomal RNA
Source: RNAcentral